RNAcentral lists this ribosomal RNA (494 nucleotides) under uncultured bacterium. RNAcentral describes it as "partial 16S ribosomal RNA". It matches the Rfam family "Bacterial small subunit ribosomal RNA", at positions 28 to 507 of the family's 1533-position model. The record is from RNAcentral.
GACGAACGCUGGCGGCGUGCUUAACACAUGCAAGUCGAACGGUGAAGCGCCUUCCUUUUUGGUGGGUGUGGAUGAGUGGCGAACGGGUGAGUAACACGUGAGUAACCUGCCCCCUUCUUCUGGAUAACCGCAUGAAAGUGUGGCUAAUACGGGAUAUUCUGGGUCUGUCGCAUGAUGGGUCUGGGAAAGAUAUUGUUUCGGUGGGGGAUGGGCUCGCGGCCUAUCAGCUUGUUGGUGGGGUGAUGGCCUACCAAGGCGGUGACGGGUAGCCGGCCUGAGAGGGUGGACGGUCACACUGGGACUGAGACACGGCCCAGACUCCUACGGGAGGCAGCAGUGGGGAAUAUUGCACAAUGGGCGCAAGCCUGAUGCAGCGACGCCGCGUGAGGGAUGGAGGCCUUCGGGUUGUGAACCUCUUUCGCCAGUGAAGCAGGCCUGCCUCGUUUGUGGGUGGGUUGACGGUAGCUGGAGAAAAAGCGCCGGCUAACUACGUG